RNAcentral lists this transfer RNA (70 nucleotides) under Ophiarachnella infernalis. Its description in RNAcentral is "tRNA-Phe". Lineage: Eukaryota; Metazoa; Echinodermata; Ophiuroidea; Amphilepidida; Ophiodermatidae. The record is from RNAcentral.
AUCGAAAUAGUUAAACGAUAACUGAACUUUGAAGAAGUUUUAUUGAAGUGUUGAACCCCUUCUUUCGGUA